GCCAAGCAGCCAAGCAGCCACAGCCAUUGAAUGUCAGUCACAAAAAUGCAAUCACAGUUUGACACAAUUUUACCGAGGCGCCACUUCAACACGUUGCAGCGCUGCAAUAUCUUUACAGUUACAAAAGCCAGCCACACAAACACACACACACACACACAGGCAGUGGCAGAGGCAGAGGAAGUGCCAGUGGCAGUGGCAGGGGCAGACAGGCGGAGACCAACGCACGAACGACAACUCUGCAAACAACACAAUGACAACUCUUUAACACAGUUAAGUUGGCAGAGCUGCAGCGACAAUCGAUGUCGAUGUACAGUUAUCCAUUUGCCCAUACAUACCCUUUAAAUCGAAAUGGGAUAAAGCUUGGGGAGUAUACGACCUGGGGAAAUUAUGAAGGUGAGAAAAAUCGGAGGCAGGCUGGACAGUGGAAAAGAGCAUACAGAAAUUAUUAUACAGAAAGUAUAAAGCAUUAAGCACAACUUUGGCUGGCGUAUGAGCUCUUCCCUGCGUGUCCAAUUGGCAGUGUGCCUCUGCACCGUCCCUGACUUAUGGCAUGCCCCUCCUGUGGACGCCUGGCCAGGUCCUGGUCGCACUCCAAAUGCAACUUGCAACUGCAACCGUGGUAGCAGUGCCUCGGCGAUAUUUUACUGCGACAACAUUUCAUUGCAAACAUUGUGCAAUUUCACUUUAAACGUCAAUCGAUUUUCAUGUGAUUUUUACCAGCAUUUCUCCUCAUCGUAGCACCAAACAACCUAUGACUUUUCUUUAGUGUCCGCAGAAUUUUCUUUCUUUUCUUUUUUUGUUUGGCACACAAAAUUGCUUUGGUUUGAGUGGAAAAGUUUGUUAGGUGAAGACUUCUCGUAGUUGUGUUCAUUGGAGAAUGUUCAAAGUGGAAUCGAAUAAAGAUAAGCAUAUAAAUAUUUCGAGACUAUUUUCACUUCUUAGAAACAAACAUUUAUUACAGAUAUGUACUUCCAAUCAGAAUACAUAUAAGUACAUGCAGGAGUAAAUUAAUAAAAGGCAGUAAAUAAUUUUAACAACGUCUGCAGGCUAUCUAAAGUU
Long non-coding RNA from Drosophila obscura, 1059 nucleotides. RefSeq lists it as uncharacterized. The record is from RefSeq and is a predicted model, not a curated record. NCBI's taxonomy places the organism in Eukaryota, Metazoa, Arthropoda, Insecta, Diptera, Drosophilidae. The transcript has 3 exons.